UUGCUAAGUAUUCUGAAAAGAAGGUACAAAGCAUAUUUAAGCAGUACCUACAUUUUGACCUGUUUUCUUCAUUGCUAUGUUAAGGACUUUCCUCAGGAAGGAUGAAAGAGGAUGGGUGCUAUCACACACUGCCUAAGGCAUUGAUCAACAGUUCUGCUGUUGGGGCUUCCCUCGUACUACGCUGCCAAAUAGCUGCAGAAGGACGUGGUGAUGGUGAAACUCUGAUCACCCCUCACUACCUGUGCUGUGCAGUUGCAAUCACUUCUAUCUCUGCCCUGUCACAAGGCUUGGCCUUUGCUCUCCAGAGCUGUUACCUCUGAGCAAAUAUCCUUCAGCAGUAUGCUUUGUACCAGCUGAGGAGCAGCUCUGUGUGCCUUGUGAAAUCCAGUUUGGCUACACAUAGCAUUUACAGAGUGAAUCUGUUUGCUUAAAUAGGUUUCUUAUUUUAUCACUACUUGAACAUUGGUAGAUGUUUGAGUGUCAAAGUCAGUUAUACUCCAGAGAGGAAGGUGGGA
This is a long non-coding RNA of Pezoporus flaviventris, 515 nucleotides long. RefSeq lists it as uncharacterized. The transcript has 3 exons. Lineage: Eukaryota; Metazoa; Chordata; Aves; Psittaciformes; Psittacidae. The record is from RefSeq and is a predicted model, not a curated record.